This 1601-nucleotide long non-coding RNA is filed under the name Homo sapiens (human). Its description in RNAcentral is "HSALNT0288163". The record is from RNAcentral. Lineage: Eukaryota; Metazoa; Chordata; Mammalia; Primates; Hominidae.
UCUACAUUUAUGUCUUUUAACUCAUUUGGGGAGUUUGGUGUGUUAUCUCUCUGCCCUUUCUCAUUGUUCUCCCCAUCUGGGGCUGUUAUUAUGUGAAAGCUUGUUUCUUUCAUCGGAUCAUGUAGGCUGUAAUGAUGUUUCGUUUAUUUUGAUUCUCCUUACACUGCGUAGUUUUAAUUUACCUAAGGUGACUCAUUUUUGUUUGUUUCCUGAGAAUAGGUCUUACUCUGUCUCCUAGGUUGGAGAGGAGCCUCAGGAUCUCAGCCCACUGCAGCCUGGACACCGCACACCCAUGUGAUCCUCUCAAGUCAGACUCACAUAGCUGGCACUACAGCAACCAUAUGUGAGAUAAUGAUGCACAUUACUGCAGACAUCACAGAUACAGGUCCAAAGGGAAAUGAAGAAGAAGAAGAAGAAAGCAAGCUUUAAAGUCUAUACAUUCCUAACACUGUAUCAGAAACUCACCAAUAACAUGAAAUCAAAGAAUGAUAACAGCAAAUUCCAUUUCAUACCUAGACUGAAAUAUGAAACUUCAAAAGAAAAGAAAGUUAAGAACUUUGGGUUUGUAAAAAUUUUCCUAUAUAGAUAAAAUUAUUGGUAACUUUGUAUCACUAGAAAACAUAAACGAAAAUCCAUGUUUUGCAUAUUUGUAAAUAUAAAUGUUUUUAUUUCCAUCAGUUAUGACAUGCAAGCAAGUAAUAAAGUGAAAGUACAUUACAAUGAUAUAUGGAACUUUCUCAGUCUCAAAAUAUUCCAUUGAGACUAUUAAUUUUAUGAAAACCACAAAGAAUGCUUCAUGCAACUAUAUUAUACAGUACUUUUUAGUAUUUUACUUACAUUUUAAAUAAUUAACAAAGGGAAUUCUUCAACAUUAUUUAUUACAAAUACCAUUAUUUUCCUUGAGUAAUACUGUUGAAAUUAAGUAUUUUAAAUAAAAUAUUAAAAACAAAUUAUAUUGACUGAUUUCAGCUUUGGAUGAAAUCAUGCUUGUGUAUUUGUAGUAAUGUGAAGUAUAACUUUCUCCUCACAAUUAAUCUUUCAUAACACCAGUGUUAUUGUUUUCUCUGACAACAACAUUGUGAUAUCUCACAGCUUUACUGUACAUAUACACUACAUGCCUCCAGAGAGUAGGCUUCAAACAUAUGGAAAAAUUAUAUUUGUGACAAAAUUCUAGGAAAGGGAAUGGUAAAAUGGGAGAAUAAUUUCUAACUUUCUAACUGUUGAUCAAUGGAUUUGUGUAUAUUUAGAUAUAGACACAUAUUUGCACACUGUGAGUUUGCCCAUGUACAUAUACAUUUACAAGAGAUACCUAUAAUAUGUGGGUUGUGUAAUCUUUUAAUUAAUCCACAAUUGUAUAUGUGUGAAAUUUGAUAAGCGGUUACCUUUUCUAUACUCAAUUUGAUGGAAAGACAAAAAAAUCUCUGUCAACAUUCAUUUCAAUUAAUCCAAUACUGUUAACUGCUGAUAGCUUCAUUCUCCUUGUUCUCUUUUGGCAACCUGAAAGUUAAUUCUCACUCUAAUUCAGCUCUCAGGGUGCAAUCCAGAAGACAGUGUUAUCUUGCUAUGGAUUGUGACCUCUGACUCCACCUCUUUCUUCCUAG